GAUGAAGAACGCAGCGAAAUGCGAUAAUUAAUGUGAAUUGCAGAAUUUAGUGAAUCAUCGAAUCUUUGAACGCACAUUGCGCCCGCCAGUAUUCUGGCGGGCAUGCCUGUUCGAGCGUCAUUACAACCCUCAGGCCCCCGGGCCUGGCGUUGGGGAUCGGCGGAAGCCCCCUGCGGGCACAACGCCGUCCCCCAAAUACAGUGGCGGUCCCGCCGCAGCUUCCAUUGCGUAGUAGCUAACACCUCGCAACUGGAGAGCGGCGCGGCCACGCCGUAAAACACCCAACUUCUGAAUGUUGACCUCGAAUCAGGUAGGAAUACCCGCUGAACUUAAGCAUAUCAAUAAGCGGAGGA
Molecule: unclassified non-coding RNA, 353 nt
Filed under: soil metagenome
Description: partial contains 5.8S ribosomal RNA, internal transcribed spacer 2, and large subunit ribosomal RNA
Rfam family: 5.8S ribosomal RNA (bases 1-120)
Source: RNAcentral